Molecule: transfer RNA, 72 nt
Filed under: Camelus dromedarius (Arabian camel)
Lineage: Eukaryota; Metazoa; Chordata; Mammalia; Artiodactyla; Camelidae
Also listed under: 1 other name
Rfam family: tRNA
About the family: Transfer RNA (tRNA) molecules are approximately 80 nucleotides in length.
Source: Rfam by way of RNAcentral
GAGGGUACAACUCAGUGUUAGAGGGUGUGCUUAGCAUGCAUGAGGUCCUGGGUUCAAUCCCCAGUACCUCCA